RNAcentral lists this ribosomal RNA (499 nucleotides) under uncultured bacterium. Its description in RNAcentral is "partial 16S ribosomal RNA". It matches the Rfam family "Bacterial small subunit ribosomal RNA", at positions 29 to 523 of the family's 1533-position model. The record is from RNAcentral.
AUUGAACGCUGGCGGCAUGCCUUACACAUGCAAGUCGAACGCGAAAGGGGGGCAACCCCUGAGUAGAGUGGCGCACGGGUGAGUAAUGCAUCGGAACGUGUCCUGUAGCGGGGGAUAACCUAGCGAAAGCUAGGCUAAUACCGCAUACGUCCUAAGGGAGAAAGUGGGGGAUCGUAAGACCUCACACUAUAGGAGCGGCCGAUGCCGGAUUAGCUAGUUGGUGGGGUAAAAGCUCACCAAGGCGACGAUCCGUAGCUGGUCUGAGAGGAUGAUCAGCCACACUGGGACUGAGACACGGCCCAGACUCCUACGGGAGGCAGCAGUGGGGAAUUUUGGACGAUGGGGGAAACCCUGAUCCAGCCAUGCCGCGUGAGUGAAGAAGGCCUUCGGGUUGUAAAGCUCUUUCGGCCGGGACGAAAUCGUACCUUCCAACACAAGGUGCGGAUGACGGUACCGGCAGAAGAAGGACCGGCUAACUACGUGCCAGCAGCCGCCGUAA